RNAcentral lists this ribosomal RNA (1371 nucleotides) under uncultured organism. RNAcentral describes it as "16S ribosomal RNA". It matches the Rfam family "Bacterial small subunit ribosomal RNA", at positions 46 to 1411 of the family's 1533-position model. The record is from RNAcentral.
GCCUAACACAUGCAAGUCGAACGAGAAAGCUCUUCGGAGUGAGUAGAGUGGCGAACGGGUGAGUAAUACAUAGUGAACGUACCUGUGCGUGGGGAAUAACUUUUGGAAACGAAGGCUAAUACCGCAUGUCUCGCAAGAGAAAAGAUGGCCUCUUCUUGAAAGCUAUCGCGCACAGAUCGGCCUAUGCCCCAUUAGCUUGUUGAUAGGGUAAUGGCCUACCAAGGCUACGAUGGGUAGCUGGUCUGAGAGGAUGAUCAGCCACACUGGGACUGAGACACGGCCCAGACUCCUACGGGAGGCAGCAGUGAGGAAUAUUGCACAAUGGGCGCAAGCCUGAUGCAGCAACGCCGCGUGAGUGAAGAAGGCCCUUGGGUCGUAAAGCUCUUUCAGCUGGGAAGAAAAUUUACUGUAAAAAUAUUGCAGUAAGAUGACGGUACCAGAAGAAGAAGCACCGGCUAAUUCCGUGCCAGCAGCCGCGGUAAUACGGAAGGUGCGAGCGUUGUUCGGAAUGACUGGGCGUAAAGAGCGCGUAGGCGGUCCUGUAUGUCGAUUGUGAAAGCCCUGGGCUUAACCUAGGAAUUGCAGUCGAAACUGCAGGUCUUGAAUGCUUGAGAGGGUGGUAGAAUUCCAGGUGUAGAAGUGAUAUUCGUAGAUAUCUGGAGGAAACACCAGAGGCGAAAGCAGCCACCUGGCAAUGCAUUGACGCUGAGGCGCGAAAGCGUGGGGAGCAAGCAGGAUUUAGAUACCCUGGUAGUCCACGCCAUAAACGAUGGAUACUAGAUGUCUGGAGUGUUAACCCUCUGGGUAUCGGAGCUAACGUAUUAAGUAUCCCGCCUGGGGAGUACGGUCGCAAGGUUAAAACUCAAAGGAAUUGACGGGGGCCCGCACAAGCGGUGGAGUAUGUGGUUUAAUUCGAAGCAACGCGCAGAACCUUACCUGGGCUUAACAUCCCUUGACAACUAUAGAAAUAUAGCCUUUCCUUCGGGAACAAGGUGAUAGGUGCUGCAUGGCUGUCGUCAGCUCGUGUCGUAAGAUGUUGGGUUAAGUCCCGCAACGAGCGCAACCCUUAUCUUUAGUUACCAUCAUUCAGUUGGGGACUCUAGAGAGACUGCCGGUGUCAAACCGGAGGAAGGCGGGGAUGACGUCAAGUCCUCAUGGCCCUUACGCCCAGGGCCACACACGUACUACAAUGGCAGAAACAAACCGUCGCCAAACCGUAAGGUGGAGCUAAUCGGUAAAACACUGUCUCAGUCCGGAUUGAAGUCUGCAAUUCGACUUCAUGAAGUUGGAAUCGCUAGUAAUCGCAGAUCAGCAUGCUGCGCUGAAUACGUUCCCGGGCCUUGUACACACCUCCCGUCACACCACGAAAGU